ACCAGGAUUCGAACCUGGCAGUCUUACUCCAGUGUCUGUGUUCUUAAUCAUCAUUCUGUGUUGCCUCUUUCAGACCUUAUUGUUUAACUUUAUACUAGCCUUUGUGUUGUGGAUUUUCUGUGAAAUGUGAGAGUCUCUCUAAAAAAAAAAGAAAAAAUCCAACAACAAUAUGCUUUAGUUCACAGAAUGGGCAUUUGUGCCCUGAAUUUCUUUUUUUAAAGACAAAAGUUCCUUUUGUAGUAGCAUGGGAUUUUAAAGUCUGACAGACUUUUUUUUUUUUUUUAACUGCAGGCUUAAUUUGAAUUUAACACAGAUUUUUAAACAUUUUUAACUUUUUUUUUAAUGUCCUCUUUCUGUUCCAGGAUUCAGCCCAGGGUAUCAUAUUGCAUUUAGUUGUCAUGUCUCCUUAGCUGUUAGCUGUGACAGUAUCUCAGUCUUUCCUUGGUUUUCAUGACCUUGAAUAGUUUUGAGGAAGACUGGUCAAGUAUUUUGUAGUAGAAUACCGUCAAUUUGGAAGUCUGAUUUUUUUUUUUUUUCAUUAUUAGAUUGAGGUUGUGGGUUUUGGGAAAGAAUACACUGAGGUGAAGUACCAUUCUUAUCACAUCAUGGCAGAGGAUACAUGUUAUCCACAUGAAGUCACUGGUGAUGUUAACCUUGCUCACUUGGGUAAGGUAGCAUUUGCCAAGUAUCUCUUCUGUAAAGUCACUCCUUU
Molecule: long non-coding RNA, 712 nt
Organism: Orcinus orca (killer whale)
Lineage: Eukaryota; Metazoa; Chordata; Mammalia; Artiodactyla; Delphinidae
Exons: 2
Source: RefSeq, a predicted model, not a curated record